RNAcentral lists this ribosomal RNA (497 nucleotides) under uncultured bacterium. RNAcentral's name for it is "partial 16S ribosomal RNA". It matches the Rfam family "Bacterial small subunit ribosomal RNA", at positions 28 to 507 of the family's 1533-position model. The record is from RNAcentral.
GAUGAACGCUGGCGGCGUGCCUAAUACAUGCAAGUCGAGCGAACAGACGAGGAGCUUGCUUCUCUGACGUUAGCGGCGGACGGGUGAGUAACACGUGGAUAACCUACCUAUAAGACUGGGAUAACUUCGGGAAACCGGAGCUAAUACCGUAUAAUAUUUUGAACCGCAUGGUUCAAUAGUAAAAGACGGUUUUGCUGUCACUUAUAGAUGUAUCCGCGCUGCAUUAGCUAGUUGGUAAGGUAACGGCUUACCAAGGCAACGAUGCGUAGCCGACCUGAGAGGGUGAUCGGCCACACUGGAACGGAGACACGGUCCAGACGACUAAGGGAGGCAGCAGUAGGGAAUCUUCCGCAAUGGGCGAAAGCCUGACGGAGCAACGCCGCGUGAGUGAUGAAGGUCUUCGGAUCGUAAAACUCUGUUAUUAGGGAAGAACAAAUGUGUAAGUAACUGUGCACGUCUUGACGGUACCUAAUCAGAAAGCCACGGCUAACUACGUG